AGAUAUUGAUCUUGUUUUAUAUAGUAUAAAGAAUUUUCUAUCAAAAUUUCACGUGAUUUGGAUAUUUCUACACCGUUAAACUUGCAAACGGCUCACUACGGCCAUUGAAAUUUAUUGAUUAUGAGCCCAUUCGAUCACUAGGCAAAUGAUAUCGAAAAAUAAUAAAAUUUAUUUUCUAGGCACUCCAAAUACUCUAGAUCAAAUUUAACGGAGCCGAUCGACGAUUCGAAAAUCGCAACAUCGAAAACGAGCUGGAAGCACGAAAGGCUCCGUGCUUCCGAUAGCAUAGUAGCCUCACUCUAUAUAUAUAUAUAUAUAUAUAUUGUAUAGAGCCCUUCGUACUCAUAAGUUGUUUUCGAUGUUGGGCUUUUCGAAUCGACGAUCCACACCAUUAAACAUGAUUUAGAGUAUUCGAAACUUCAAAAAAGUAAUUUUGUAAUUUUUCGAAAUCAUUAUAAAGUCCAUCAAGUGGGUAUAACAUGAACGGUUAAAAUCGAACGACAUCCUAAAAAUGGAUGAUCGGAUCCUUCAAUCUAUGAUCAAAGUUAUUGAUCUUUAUUUAGGUGGUGAAUAGAAUUUUCUAUAAAAAAUUCAACCUAUUCUGAUUCUUUUUCACUGUUAACCUAGCAAAUAUCUCAUAUCGGCCGUUAAAAAUUGUCAAUUUUGUGAGCUUUUGAUCGUAAGAUAAAUGAUAUCGAAAAAUUAUAAAAUUUGAUUUCUAGAAGUUUUAAAUGCUCUAAAUAAUGUUUAACAGUAUGGAUCGUCGCUUCGGAAGCUCUAUUAUCGAAACAAUUUAUGAGUACGAAGGCGAUCGUACUCAUAAGAGUAUAUAUAGUAGCCGGACUCUCUCUCUCGCUCUCUCUCUCUCUCUCUCUCUCUCUCUCUCUCUCUCUCUCUCUCUCUCUCUAUAUAUAUAUAUAUAUAUAUAUAUA
Molecule: long non-coding RNA, 932 nt
Filed under: Ananas comosus (pineapple)
Lineage: Eukaryota; Viridiplantae; Streptophyta; Magnoliopsida; Poales; Bromeliaceae
Description: long non-coding RNA (ACOM_LNC016383)
Source: RNAcentral